This 200-nucleotide ribosomal RNA is filed under the name uncultured organism. RNAcentral's name for it is "partial small subunit ribosomal RNA". It matches the Rfam family "Bacterial small subunit ribosomal RNA", at positions 1182 to 1382 of the family's 1533-position model. The record is from RNAcentral.
ACGUCAAAUCAUCAUGCCCCUUAUGUCCUGGGCUACACACGUACUACAAUGGCGACUACAGAGUGAGGCAAGACCGCGAGGUGGAGCAAAUCACUAAAAGUCGUCCCAGUUCAGAUUGCAGGCUGCAACUCGCCUGCAUGAAGUCGGAAUUGCUAGUAAUGGCAGGUCAGCAUACUGCCGUGAAUACGUUCCCGGGCCUU